Molecule: ribosomal RNA, 617 nt
Filed under: uncultured Actinomycetes bacterium
Lineage: Bacteria; Bacillati; Actinomycetota; Actinomycetes
Description: bacterial SSU rRNA
Rfam family: Bacterial small subunit ribosomal RNA
Source: RNAcentral
GACUCAUUGACGUCUGCCGUGUCGAAGCUAACGCAUUAAGUGAUCCGCCUGGGGAGUACGGCCGCAAGGCUAAAACUCAAAGGAAUUGACGGGGCCCCGCACAAGCGGCGGAGCAUGCGGCUUAAUUCGAUGCAACCCGAAGAACCUUACCUGGGUUUGACAUUAUGGGAAAAACUGUAGAGAUACAGUGUGCGUAAGCGUCCAUGACAGGUGGUGCAUGGCUGUCGUCAGCUCGUGUCGUGAGAUGUUGGGUUAAGUCCCGCAACGAGCGCAACCCUCGUUCUAUGUUGCCAGCGGGUUAUGCCGGGGACUCAUAGGAGACUGCCGGGGACAACUCGGAGGAAGGUGAGGACGACGUCAAGUCAUCAUGCCCCUUAUAUCCAGGGCUGCACGCAUGCUACAAUGGCCGGUACAACGGGCAGCGAUCCUGCGAAGGUGAGCGAAUCCCUCAAAGCCGGUCUCAGUUCGGAUUGAAGUCUGCAACUCGACUUCAUGAAGCCGGAGUCGCUAGUAAUCGUGGAUCAGCAAAGCCGCGGUGAAUACGUUCUCGGGGCUUGUACACACCGCCCGUCACAUCACGAAAGUUGGCAAUGCCCGUAGUCAGUGGUCUAACCCUU